RNAcentral lists this ribosomal RNA (44 nucleotides) under Hydnotrya tulasnei. RNAcentral describes it as "partial 5.8S ribosomal RNA". Lineage: Eukaryota; Fungi; Ascomycota; Pezizomycetes; Pezizales; Discinaceae. The record is from RNAcentral.
UUGCGCCCUCUGGUAUUCCGGGGGGCAUGCCUGUUCGAGCCUCA